RNAcentral lists this ribosomal RNA (293 nucleotides) under uncultured microorganism. RNAcentral's name for it is "partial 16S ribosomal RNA". It matches the Rfam family "Bacterial small subunit ribosomal RNA", at positions 505 to 796 of the family's 1533-position model. The record is from RNAcentral.
GUGCCAGCAGCCGCGGUAAUACGUAGGGUGCGAGCGUUAUCCGCCAGCAGCCGGCGGUAAUGAGCUCGUAGGCGGUUUGUCGCGUCUGUCGUGAAAGUCCGGGGCUUAACCCCGGAUCUGCGGUGGGUACGGGCAGACUAGAGUGCAGUAGGGGAGACUGGAAUUCCUGGUGUAGCGGUGGAAUGCGCAGAUAUCAGGAGGAACACCGAUGGCGAAGGCAGGUCUCUGGGCUGUAACUGACGCUGAGGAGCGAAAGCAUGGGGAGCGAACAGGAUUAGAUACCCUGGUAGUCC